AAUAAUGUAGUAUAUUAGUAUAUUUGAUUUCCAAUCAAAUGGUAAAAAAUUUAUUUUUU
Molecule: transfer RNA, 59 nt
Filed under: Neoscona scylla
Lineage: Eukaryota; Metazoa; Arthropoda; Arachnida; Araneae; Araneidae
Description: tRNA-Gly
Source: RNAcentral